UGGUCUGCCUCAGGGGCUGAAGUUGUCUUUUUAUGCAUUGAGUGGGAACAGCACUGGGAGUGACAGAGCUGGUUUUCUUCAAACCACUCCCAUCCACUGGCUAGAGCCAAGAAAAGGGCCCACACCUCUCAGGAGAAGAGCACUAUGCAGUCUUGGAUACCCAUUUCACCUUUCGUUUCA
Molecule: small RNA, 180 nt
Filed under: Nannospalax galili (Upper Galilee mountains blind mole rat)
Lineage: Eukaryota; Metazoa; Chordata; Mammalia; Rodentia; Spalacidae
Description: TUC338 (ENSNGAG00000002455.1)
Source: RNAcentral